RNAcentral lists this ribosomal RNA (253 nucleotides) under uncultured bacterium. RNAcentral describes it as "partial 16S ribosomal RNA". It matches the Rfam family "Bacterial small subunit ribosomal RNA", at positions 524 to 776 of the family's 1533-position model. The record is from RNAcentral.
UACGUAGGGUGCGAGCGUUAUUCGGAAUUACUGGGCGUAAAGCGUGCGCAGGCGGUUUUGUAAGCCAGAUGUGAAAUCCCCGGGCUCAACCUGGGAAUGGCAUUUGGGACUGCAAGGCUCGAGUGCGGCAGAGGAGACUGGAAUUCCUGGUGUAGCAGUGAAAUGCGUAGAUAUCAGGAGGAAUACCGAUGGCGAAGGCAGGUCUCUGGGCUGACACUGACGCUCAUGCACGAAAGCGUGGGGAGCAAACAGG